This 445-nucleotide ribosomal RNA is filed under the name uncultured soil bacterium. RNAcentral's name for it is "bacterial SSU rRNA". It matches the Rfam family "Bacterial small subunit ribosomal RNA", at positions 26 to 518 of the family's 1533-position model. The record is from RNAcentral.
AGAACGAACGCUGGCAGCAGGCCUAACGCAUGCAAGUCGAACGCUCGUAGCAAUACGGGAGUGGCGCACGGGUGAGUAACGCGUGGGCACCUGCCCGGUGGUUUGGGAUAACCGUGGGAAACUGCGGCUAAUACCGGAUACGCCCCUAGGGGGAAAGAUUUAUCGCCAUCGGAUGGGCCCGCGUAGGAUUAGCUAGUUGGUGAGGUAACGGCUCACCAAGGCUACGAUCCUUAGCUGGUCUGAGAGGAUGAUCAGCCACACUGGGACUGAGACACGGCCCAGACUCCUACGGGAGGCAGCAGUGGGGAAUAUUGGACAAUGGGGGCAACCCUGAUCCAGCAUGCGCGUGAGUGAAGAAGGCCUUCGGGUUGUAAAGCUCUUUGGCGGGGACGAUGAUGACGGUACCCGCAGAAUAAGCCCCGGCUAACUUCGUGCCAGCAGCCGC